RNAcentral lists this non-coding RNA (196 nucleotides) under Geminigera cryophila. Lineage: Eukaryota; Cryptophyceae; Pyrenomonadales; Geminigeraceae. The record is from RNAcentral.
AGAAGAAAGAAAGGAAGAAAGAAAGAAGCUCAAGGAGGGGACAUAGACUCGUUCUUUCUUUUUUUCUUUCUUUCUCUUUAUUAUUAUUUUUUUUGACUCCGUAAUGCGCUGUAGGGUGCAGCAAUAGGUCAGGAGCAGCAGAAAUUCCCAAAAAAUGUGGAUUCUAUUUUCUUUGUUGUUCAAUUUUUUUUGAGAU